Long non-coding RNA from Bombina bombina (fire-bellied toad), 298 nucleotides. RefSeq lists it as uncharacterized. The record is from RefSeq and is a predicted model, not a curated record. NCBI's taxonomy places the organism in Eukaryota, Metazoa, Chordata, Amphibia, Anura, Bombinatoridae. The transcript is spliced from 3 exons.
GAAAUGCAUCCAGAGACUAAAGCAUUUGCUGAUCCUCCAGCUUACAAAAGACGUACGAAUAUGAAAGAUAGAUUGGUUAAGGCCGAUGUAGGAAGUAACAAAAGUGUUCAGAGAACUUUUACUGGCCAACUUGACAAAGGGCUAAGUUGUUGCCCAAAAUGUUGCUGAUUUGGACCCUGUAUGCAUAAUAAAGGUCGUCACUGUUUAUCACAAGCUGAAGUUCUGGGCUUGGUAGGCCCUCUCCGUGUCUUGUGAGUGGAAGUUCAGGAACUGGCAGACGACUCAGGAACCAGCAGAC